Molecule: transfer RNA, 71 nt
Filed under: Loxodonta africana (African savanna elephant)
Lineage: Eukaryota; Metazoa; Chordata; Mammalia; Proboscidea; Elephantidae
Rfam family: tRNA
About the family: Transfer RNA (tRNA) molecules are approximately 80 nucleotides in length. Their secondary structure includes four short double-helical elements and three loops (D, anti-codon, and T loops).
Source: Rfam by way of RNAcentral
GCACUGGUUGUUCAGAGGUAGAACUCUCUCUUUCCAUGCAGGAGAUGCUGGUUCAAUUCCCGGCCAGUGCA